UAUACAACACUUAAGGAAGUUUGCUGCUCAGUUUCAAAAUAAAUAACUUUCCAUAAAACUAGUAUAUAUUGAUAGGGGAUUAAUUGAGGAAUCAAAAAAGCAAAAAAAAUAUAGGGGUCAAUGUGCUUGUUUUCGAGAUAUUAGCCCUUGGAAUUUUGGCGGGAAAAUGUUCUCUCUUGAUUUUUCAUUGCUUUAUCAUUGAACAGUUAAAGUUCUCAAAAACUAUGAAAAAAUAAAUAAGAUUUUAUAAAAAGAAAGAUGGGGGUUCAUUGGCAAAAUUUUUAAAGGCAUUCAAGUGGAUAAAACCAGAGGAUUUCGAAAAUC
Molecule: long non-coding RNA, 324 nt
Filed under: Mytilus galloprovincialis (Mediterranean mussel)
Lineage: Eukaryota; Metazoa; Mollusca; Bivalvia; Mytilida; Mytilidae
Source: RNAcentral